UUAACAACUAAGCGUACACGGUGGAUGCCCUGGCAGUCAGAGGCGAUGAAGGGCGUGCUAAUCUGCGAUAAGCGCCGGUAAGGUGAUAUGAACCGUUAUAACCGGCGAUACCCGAAUGGGGAAACCCAGUGUGAUUCGUCACACUAUCAUUAACUGAAUCCAUAGGUUAAUGAGGCGAACCGGGGGAACUGAAACAUCUAAGUACCCCGAGGAAAAGAAAUCAACCGAGAUUCCCCCA
Molecule: ribosomal RNA, 238 nt
Filed under: Salmonella enterica subsp. enterica serovar Muenchen
Lineage: Bacteria; Pseudomonadati; Pseudomonadota; Gammaproteobacteria; Enterobacterales; Enterobacteriaceae
Description: partial 23S ribosomal RNA
Rfam family: Bacterial large subunit ribosomal RNA
Source: RNAcentral